This 301-nucleotide ribosomal RNA is filed under the name uncultured bacterium. RNAcentral describes it as "partial 16S ribosomal RNA". It matches the Rfam family "Bacterial small subunit ribosomal RNA", at positions 509 to 807 of the family's 1533-position model. The record is from RNAcentral.
CAGUAGCCGCGGUAAUACGAGGGGGGCAAGCGUUGUUCGGAAUUAUUGGGCGUAAAGGGCGCGUAGGCGGUUUGACAAGUUUGGUGUGAAAUCUAUGGGCUCAACCCAUAGCCUGCAUCGAAAACUGUCGGGCUUGAGUAUGGGAGAGGUGAGUGGAAUUUCCGGUGUAGCGGUGAAAUGCGUAGAUAUCGGAAGGAACACCUGUGGCGAAAGCGGCUCACUGGACCAUUACUGACGCUGAGGCGCGAAAGCUAGGGGAGCAAACAGGAUUAGAUACCCGAGUAGUCCCUGUCUCUUAUAC